GCUUUUGCUGCCUUUAUGUUCCCCACCAGAACAGUUUGGGUUUGAAUAAUACUUUGCUUGUGGUUAAAACUCUGUGCAGCCUCUUUUAGUUGUUGUUGUUAUUGUGGUAAGAACACUUAACAUGAGAUCUACCCUCUCAUUUUUUGAAAGGAAGUAUGAGGGAGACAAAAAAAAGGGACCUGAACGGUUCAGUUUGAGACUUUUAAGAUUGAUUUUAGCUUAACAAGAAACUCCAGGACCCAGGUCAAGGCAACAUGCUUGCAGACAUCCGCUACCUGAAUGCAGUGGAUGAGAUUGAAAUCAUUUUACAUCUGACAGAAAGGAAAACAAGGUAAUUCCCACAGACUUCCAGAAGAGGUGUCCAGAAAGAUCAGCUCACUUCGUCAGCUAAGAGCUGCAGGAAGCAGGAAGACUCCAGUGAAAAUAUAAGCAGCUCUGGCAAGCUAACAAUCACAUCUGUUAGCCACUGGAUAAAAUAAGAGUUGGCAAGGACCGGUGUGUCUGAACUGACUUAUUUUCUAGUGGGAGGGGUAAACUUCUGCUGAUUAACCACUCAGGAUCCUAACUAACUUUCUGGCAUGGUGUUUACAUGAUUAUGCCAUUGGCCUUGAAAUGAGAGUGACUUUUAGGGAUACUUCAAAAGGCAAUUCUUUUACUGUUCCUGGAACCUAAGACCCCUACAAAGAAAGCCCGGCCCACCUACUGUGUGCAGUCAUGUCUUCUAGGACUUCUGCAAGAGUUACUCCCAGGUGUAUGACAUACACCCAGGUAUAUGACAAAGGGAUCUAUAUGGGAAAUCACUUAUAUAGUGAGUAUGAACAGAGAGCCACAAGCUCAGGAGCACAGUAAAUAUCAUAUUUCUUUACUUUUCAGUUAAUAAUUUCAUUCUGACUCUGUGAUACACCAUGUUUUGGUGGGUUAUAACCUCAUUCUUCCAUGGGGCUCUCCUCCUGGUGGUUUUGUCAAGGUGCUGGGGAUCAGGAUCUUUAAUCUGGCCAGCAGGCACCUAUCCCUCCAUGAUCCCAGCCAUGUCAUCAGGAUGCAGAUUGGUGGCUUUGGUUUAACACUGGGCACACGAGAAGCCAUGUCAAGGCUGGGUGUUCUGGGCCGUGAUUCCUUCUAGGUUCUGCUACUUAUUGUUGCUGCCAGGCACUGACUUAUAGAUCCUGGUGCUCAAAGGACUACACACUUCUUUUCUCUCCUAGCCUAGAUAAUCUGUUUUUUGCAUUUCUUGUUUAUUUUUUAUUUUUAUUUUGAAACUGGGUCUUGCUUUGUCACCCAGGCUGGAUGCAGUGCUACAAUCAUAGCUCACUGUAGCCUCAAAGUCCUGGGCUCAAGCCAUCCUCCUGCCUCAGCCUCCUGAUUAACUGGAACUAAAGGCAUGUGCCACCAUGCUUGGCUAAUGUUUUUUUUUUCUUUUUUUCUUUUUCUUUCUGUCUUUUUUUUUUUUUUUUUUUUUUGGUUAAAGAACGAAUCUAGCUAUGUGCCCAGGCUGGUCUCAAAAUCCUGGCCUCAAAUGAUCCUCCUAACUUGGCUUCCCAAAGUGUUGGGGUUAUAGGCAUGAGCCACUGUGCCCUGCUAAUAAUCUGUUUUUAAUCUUGGAAAAUAUUCUGUUUAUCCAUAUUUCUAUCCAAAGCAUGCACAUAGACUUCUCUUUCUUCUCCCUCUGACCCUGGGGAAUUUACUUUUAUGUUGGGGAAAUCCUUCUCUCUCUCCAUGUUUUCCUCACAAGUACCCCAUCUUCCUACACCUCAUUACUCUCUGUGGAAUUUUGCUUCUGGAAACAAAAGCCAAGAAGGGAAGUUUUUGCAGGCCAUCUCUAUUUCUUUCUCUGAAGGGGAAAAAAUAGAAAAUGUAGGGUGAAAAUUAUACAUUACUAUCACAAAAAUUAUCUUAGCAUAGACAUAUACAUACAUUCUCAAAGGCCUGCCUGGUUAAUUUAGUUUUGCACUGGUAAAACAAACAAAAGACACACUAGACAAAAGGAUCUGCAAAUCUUAUGAGUUGAGUAAUUUAUGAAUUUGUCAGAGUGUCCAAUGUAGAAGAUGAACUAUAUUCAAUUUGGUUUAAUGUGUCAAGGAGGAGAGAGUGAAGAGGAGAUCACCUUCCCAGAAUUCUUCCAAGGGAACUAUAGUCGUCAUACUUCCACUUGCAAAUUAUACUACAUUUACUCAUGGCUAUAUAUAAUUCAAGGAUUUUUAUGGUCAUCUUUUAUUGAUUAGCAUCAGCUAAAUUCUCUGCAUUAAAAUGUUUUUUGUAGAGAACUAUGUUUACAAACAGAAACAACAGAACUAAUGGACAUUACCUUGACCUCUGCCAGCACUGGAUAUGAGUGACCACUCUUUCUGAAACUCUCUUCUCCACUAGAUUCCAUAGAAGCACUCUGUCAUAGUUCUCCUCCUCCUUUCUUAUCUUACCUUUUUGAAAUUCUUCAUGAGGUUUUUUCCUUCAUCCACAUGGGAGUACUUAUCCAUUUACAGUUCCCCACUUCCAUUCUUUGUCUUCUGUUCCCCUCCCAGGAUAAUCUCACCUACUCUCAGAGUUUUAGCCACCAGCAAUCUGCUAAUGACUCACUCAUCCCUGCCCAGAUCCCUGCUGGACACCUUCAUCUGAAUGUUCCAUAGCACCUCAAACUCAACAUGUCCAAAGCAGAAUGCUUCAACUUCUCUUCCACUAACCUGUACCCCUCUUUCUGCUCCCUUUCAUAAUCCACACAGUAAUUUCCAUCUCUGCUUCUUAAUCUUGACCAACUCACCCAGGCACACAAAAUCAGUGCCUACACAAGGUAGUUGCUACAGCAGCUCCAGCUUUACUCUCAGCCUUCUGGUUACUGCUCUUGUCCAACUGGUUCAGGGACUCCAGAUUUGACUGCACUGUUUGCUUCCAUCUCUGCUAGUUUCGUGAUCUUUGGUCUCCCUUUUUGCUUCUUGGACUUCUACCUCCCUUUCAAUACUUGACUCUCUUCUCUCUCUCUGAUGAUAUUGUCCUAUGAGGUCUUGGAAGAAAACUCCCUCAACCACCCAGGCUAACUUUUUAGGCUUCCCUCCGCUGGUAAAGGAUGAGACAAACCCCUACGUUCCAGACUGCUUGAGUCCUCACUUUCCUUCACCUCUUCAUACCGAGUUAACCACUAAGCCAUCAAUGAACAUGUCCUGCACUCUCCUUAUCAACCCUGCUGAUGCUGCCUUAAAUUAAGCCCUCAUCUUCUUUUCCCUGCAUUAUUCAAACAGCUUCCUAACGGUCUCCAGUCUCCUAUUUUGUUCCUCACCUGGCAGCCAGAUUAUUUGUUCUAUAACACAGUGUGGGUCUUUCCUUUGCUUAAAACCCAUCAGGAAAUAUCUGCAACCCUGAUCUCUCAUCAGAAAAAAAUCCGUGAAAUGCUUAAAAGACAUAGAUUUUGGCAUCAACUCUAGAGAUCAUAGCUCAGUGUGUUUGAGACAGGGCUAUGACGUCAGAACUCCUGGGGUAACUCUGAUGUGCAGCCUCCACAGCAUGGCACCCCAGUUCCACUGUGGCAUGCUUCUACCCACACUUCCAUCUCGGCUCCUGCUUCAGCAGAGCUGGAGGAUGUCUCUUACCUUUCGGAAUCUUAGGAUCCAUUACAGUGCUUGAUGGUCAUUGACAUUAACUAGACCACUGCAUGAUGACAGCAAAUAUUAUCAAAGAACCAGAGGUGUUUUUGAGGUUGUUAAGGGCCCUGGAGCUACAGUUUAAAGAAUUCCUAUGUAACUGUUCUCACUAAUUCAAUGUAUUCCUUUUCUUAAUUCCAUAUUCAGUGCUAUUUCUGUAGAGUACUAGACAAAAUAAUUUCUCACCCUACUUGGUAUUUACACCUUUAAAGUAUUUAUAGAUUGCUUUUAUAUCCUCACGUAGUCAUCACUUAACCAAACAGUAUGCAUUUUAGUUUUACACUAUUACUUUAGAAAUUCAUCCCUCCAUAAAGUGAUAGCUUUUCCUGAAUUAUUCUAUUUCUUUAUAUAUUUCUUAAAUUGUAGUAUUUCUUCUUUGAAUAACUAGAUAACGAGCCUGUUGAAGAUAGCAAUUCUGACUUACAAUUACGACUUUGCCUUCACUGUUGCCUCUACCAUGAUUGACACAGAACUGGGCAUAAAAUAUGGGGAGAGGAGGAAAGAGUGGAUUUGCCAAGAAGCUGUAGGGACAGAAAGUUCUGAACCCUCUUUCUGUCAUGUUUUUGGUCCUCCUAACCCAUGUUCCAGCUGUUCAUUACUGCUACCACCAGAUGUUUUAGGUAUACAUAUUUCUCUGAUUGAACUACAAAUAAGCUAAUUCAUUAUCCCUCAGUAAGAAAGAAAACCUAGGAGAAAAUGGAACACUUGGUAUUAUUUCACGUCUCUGGAAAAGGAUUGCUCACAUUAUAUAACUUGAUGAGAAUUUGCCAAAACUCCAAAUGAUACUUCUGUCAGGCAGUGUAAAUUGCCAUUCUGGAUCUCUAUUACAAGAAGUUGUAUUUGGCUACAAUCCAAUGAAAUGUAUCAAAAUGCAAUUUCCAAGGCAUUCAGAACUGUACCCUUCAUUUGAUUCUGUGCAUGCCCACAUAGGAGCUGGAAAAAUAUUCAUUAAGU
This 4583-nucleotide long non-coding RNA is filed under the name Homo sapiens (human). Its description in RNAcentral is "HSALNT0126769". Lineage: Eukaryota; Metazoa; Chordata; Mammalia; Primates; Hominidae. The record is from RNAcentral.